Molecule: ribosomal RNA, 440 nt
Filed under: uncultured bacterium
Lineage: Bacteria
Description: partial 16S ribosomal RNA
Rfam family: Bacterial small subunit ribosomal RNA
Source: RNAcentral
CCUACGGGAGGCAGCAGUGGGGAAUAUUGCACAAUGGGGGAAACCCUGAAGCAGCGACGCCGCGUGAGUGAAGAAGUAAUUCGGUAUGUAAAGCUCUAUCAGCAGGGAAGAAAAUGACGGUACCUGAGUAAGACGCCCCGGCUAACUACGUGCCAGCAGCCGCGGUCAUACGUCGGGGGCAAGCGUUAUCCGGAUUUACUUGGUGUAAAGGGAGCGUAGACGGCAGUGCAAGUCUGGAGGGAAAGGCUGGGGGUCAACCCCCGGACUGCGCUGGAAACUGUGCGGCUUGAGUGGAGGAGAGGUAAGUGGAAUUCCUAGUGUAGCGGUGAAAUGCGUAGAUAUUAGGAGGAACACCAGUGGCGAAGGCGGCUUACGGGACUGUAACUGACGUUGAGGCUCGAAAGCGUGGGGAGCAAACAGGAUUAGAUACCCGGGUAGUC